Molecule: long non-coding RNA, 643 nt
Filed under: Phoenix dactylifera (date palm)
Lineage: Eukaryota; Viridiplantae; Streptophyta; Magnoliopsida; Arecales; Arecaceae
Description: long non-coding RNA (PDAC_LNC017146)
Source: RNAcentral
AGAGGCGUUGGAAGCCCCUUUGCUUCUUAGCUUCAUGGUAGCGAACUCGGGCCCUUCCUCUAGCGCCAACUGUUGCUGGAAAUUGGACCCGGGGGCCGCCGUGAAGCCGGAGAAGGAGGAGCUCCGCUGCUGCAGGGGGCGGACGGCGGUGCGCCGGCUGGCUGCGUCCUCCGCUGCGGGGGGGUGUGCAAGUCCUGCAAAGAAAACCAGUGGCCGAGCUCCCCGGCGCCGGCCCUCCGAUGCCUAAGUCAGAGGGGGCAAGUAUGUGGAGAGAGCAGGGGAGAGAGUAUGUGGAGAAGACAAAGAGAAUCUCGUGUUCAAUUGUGUCUGUGCUGUUUUCUUCCUUUUUCCCCCGGUCUAGGAGGGUUCUCUCCAGCUCCGGGUUUUUUCUCUGGUUUUUGGUCCUCCCUCCCUUUUCCCUCCAGGUUUCCUUUUAUAGGAGGAUUUUUGUUACCUGGGAGGUGACAGGAGGUUUGUCCUGUUUUGUAAUAAUUGGGCACGAUUUGGCCUAUUAAUGGCGUAAUGGAGAACGGGACUGGAUCAGACCGGAAUCAGAGAGUUGUCACGGUCGAUCGGACCUGUUGGAGUGGUUGAACCGCCGGCUGUGGUGGGCCUGGGGUCCGUGGAUGGUAAGUGCAUUUAU